GCCCCCAUAGCGCAGUGGCUAGCGCAUUCCACUUCUAGGCCUUUUAGUGCAGCUGAAAUGGAGGGGUCCGGAGUUCGACCCUCCGUGGGGGUU
This is a non-coding RNA of Kwoniella sp. DSM 27419, 93 nucleotides long. NCBI's taxonomy places the organism in Eukaryota, Fungi, Basidiomycota, Tremellomycetes, Tremellales, Cryptococcaceae. The record is from the annotation of a GenBank genome assembly.